Molecule: transfer RNA, 90 nt
Filed under: Bacteriovoracaceae bacterium
Lineage: Bacteria; Pseudomonadati; Bdellovibrionota; Bacteriovoracia; Bacteriovoracales; Bacteriovoracaceae
Description: tRNA-Ser
Rfam family: tRNA
About the family: Transfer RNA (tRNA) molecules are approximately 80 nucleotides in length. Their secondary structure includes four short double-helical elements and three loops (D, anti-codon, and T loops).
Source: RNAcentral
GGAAGAUUGGCCGAGUGGUUGAAGGCAGCAGUUUUGAAAACUGCCGUACGUUCACGCGUACCGGGGGUUCGAAUCCCUCAUCUUCCGCCA